UACAGAGGUCUCAAGCGUUGUUCGGAUUCAUUGGGCGUAAAGGGUGCGUAGGUGGCGCGCUAAGUCAGGUGUGAAAUUUCGGAGCUUAACUCCGAAACUGCAUUUGAUACUGGCGUGCUUGAGGACUGGAGAGGAGACUGGAAUUCAUGGUGUAGCAGUGAAAUGCGUAGAGAUCAUGAGGAAGACCAGUGGCGAAGGCGGGUCUCUAGACAGUUCCUGACACUGAGGCACGAAGGCCAGGGGAGCAAACGGG
RNAcentral lists this ribosomal RNA (253 nucleotides) under uncultured bacterium. RNAcentral's name for it is "partial 16S ribosomal RNA". It matches the Rfam family "Bacterial small subunit ribosomal RNA", at positions 524 to 776 of the family's 1533-position model. The record is from RNAcentral.